UUGUCGGGUAGCUACGUAUGGAGCAGAUAAGCGCUGAAAGCAUAUUAAGCGCGAAACUGACCUCAAGAUUAGAUUUCCCUAUGAGACCCCUGAUAGACGAUCAGGUUGAUAGGCGCAAGGUGGAAGUGUGGCAACAUAUGGAGCCGAAGCGUACUAAUAGGUCCAUCGAUUUUUUAUG
RNAcentral lists this ribosomal RNA (178 nucleotides) under Candidatus Saccharimonadota bacterium. RNAcentral's name for it is "partial 23S ribosomal RNA". It matches the Rfam family "Bacterial large subunit ribosomal RNA", at positions 2738 to 2925 of the family's 2925-position model. The record is from RNAcentral. Lineage: Bacteria; Candidatus Saccharimonadota.